Non-coding RNA from Camelina sativa (false flax), 224 nucleotides. Lineage: Eukaryota; Viridiplantae; Streptophyta; Magnoliopsida; Brassicales; Brassicaceae. The record is from RefSeq and is a predicted model, not a curated record.
UAUUGAAAAAUCAGAAUAGAAAUUGAGUGAUUCAAUUUCUUGUGACCUCCUGCGAUGCAUAUAAUCUGAGAACAAAGGGGCAUGAGCUUGAGACCAGAGACGCUGAGCAUGAGAAGCUUAAGUUGGAGUUGAAGAAACUUCAGAAGAUGAAGGAGUUCAAACCUAACAUGAUGAAAAAAGAGUUGCAGAGAGUGGAAUCUUCUGGUAAAGCUUUUGCAUCCGCA